This 127-nucleotide ribosomal RNA is filed under the name Spiroplana sp. RNAcentral's name for it is "partial large subunit ribosomal RNA". It matches the Rfam family "Eukaryotic large subunit ribosomal RNA", at positions 99 to 224 of the family's 3401-position model. The record is from RNAcentral. Lineage: Eukaryota; Fungi; Ascomycota; Dothideomycetes; Pleosporales.
CGGCAACAGCUCAAAUUUGAAAUCUGGCUCCCUCGGGGGUCCGAGUUGUAAUUUGCAGAGGGUGCUUUGGCGUCGAGCGCGGUCUAAGUUCCUUGGAACAGGACGUCACAGAGGGUGAGAAUCCCGU